GGACAAAGAAAGAUGUGUGGCAUAGCAGUGAUUGUGUCUGGAAUUAAGAUAAGUUUAUCAUCUUUAGACCCAAAUUUUAUCUCUCCAAUACCUUUAUUGGAACAAAAGGUAAUAGUAUAUAACUCUCUUUACUGAAAUAACCAUUGAUUCAAGAAUAGCUAAACUGCAGCCUUAUUAGGGCCUUUAUUUACUUCUGAUUUCAUAUUUG
Molecule: unclassified non-coding RNA, 208 nt
Filed under: Hevea brasiliensis (rubber tree)
Lineage: Eukaryota; Viridiplantae; Streptophyta; Magnoliopsida; Malpighiales; Euphorbiaceae
Source: RNAcentral